CCCUUAGAUGUUCUGGGCCGCACGCGCGCUACACUGAUGCAUUCAACAAGUCUUAACCUUGGCCGAUAGGUCUGGGUAAUCUUUGAACGCUGUUCGUGAUUGGGAUAGACCUUUGCAAUUAUGGGUCUUCAACGAGGAAUUCCUAGUAAACGCAAGUCAUCAGCUUGCAUUGAUUACGUCCCUGCCCUUUGUACACACCGCCCGUCGCACCUACCGAUUGAAUGGUCCGGUGAAAUCUCGGGACGGCGGCUUGGUCGCUUGCGUCCGACUGCUGAAACUUGAUUAAACCAUAUCAUUUAGAGGAAGGUGAANUCGUANCA
RNAcentral lists this ribosomal RNA (320 nucleotides) under uncultured eukaryote. RNAcentral describes it as "partial 18S ribosomal RNA". It matches the Rfam family "Eukaryotic small subunit ribosomal RNA", at positions 1470 to 1796 of the family's 1831-position model. The record is from RNAcentral.